UUGUUGUUAUUGCCAUCUGUCAGGGCCGGUUGCCUGUUAAGUGGACGGCUUAUGAAGCUUUGUUAUAUUGAACAUACACAACACAAGGUGACGUUUGGAGCUAUGGUGUCCUAGUGUACGAGAUUCUAACCAUAGGUGGAUUUCCAUAUCCAGGAGUAAACGCUCGACAAAUUGCCAGGAAACUUUAGGAAGGAUUCAGAAUGCCAAAGCCUAAACAUGUGGAUAACAAACUUUACUAGAUUAUGCUGCAGUGUUGGGAACAGACCCCUACUGAUCGACCAACGUUUGCCAAACUAAAAGAAACUAUGAAAGAAAUGGAGAGAAACCAC
Orbicella faveolata is the source of this 329-nucleotide long non-coding RNA. The record is from RefSeq and is a predicted model, not a curated record. NCBI's taxonomy places the organism in Eukaryota, Metazoa, Cnidaria, Anthozoa, Scleractinia, Merulinidae.